GACGAACGCUGGCGGCGUGCUUAACACAUGCCAGUCGAACGCUGAAGCUCAGCUUUUGUUGGGUGGAUGAGUGGCGAACGGGUGAGUAACACGUGAGUAACCUGCCUCCUUCUUUGGGAUAACGCCCGGAAACGGGUGCUAAUACUGGAUAUUCACUGGUCUUCGCAUGGGGGUUGGUGGAAAGGGUUUUUCUGGUGGGGGAUGGGCUCGCGGCCUAUCAGCUUGUUGGUGGGGUGAUGGCCUACCAAGGCUUUGACGGGUAGCCGGCCUGAGAGGGUGACCGGUCACAUUGGGACUGAGAUACGGCCCAGACUCCUACGGGAGGCAGCAGUGGGGAAUAUUGCACAAUGGGCGCAAGCCUGAUGCAGCGACGCCGCGUGAGGGAUGGAGGCCUUCGGGUUGUGAACCUCUUUCGCUCAUGGUCAAGCCGCAACAAUGGUUGUGGUGAGGGUAGUGGGUAAAGAAGCGCCGGCUAACUACGUG
This 483-nucleotide ribosomal RNA is filed under the name uncultured bacterium. RNAcentral's name for it is "partial 16S ribosomal RNA". It matches the Rfam family "Bacterial small subunit ribosomal RNA", at positions 28 to 507 of the family's 1533-position model. The record is from RNAcentral.